CAGUGCCUGAGUGGGAGAAGACAGACUGAGUCAUCCUAUGCAAGAUACUAAUGAUUAUGAUUCUCCGGAUGGAAGCCAUUGCAGAAGUAGUACACCAGUACUGUUCUCACAUAUUGACAGAAUUCUACCGCAGAAGCAGUAAGUGAAGAUGGCAACUGAACUCAAAUACUUAAGGAGUGCCAUGGUUACUCAGGCAAGUUUCAGUCUCUGUGUGCAGGGUGCUAAGUGCAUACAAAGCUGUCCACACCUCAAACAGCAAACAAACCAUCUAAAUGGGGAAGCACAUGUAGAUCCAGCUGGAAAAGUGAGCUACAAUGUGACAGCAAGCAUCCAAAACUGCAGAUAUUCAGCAACCUGAGUUUGUCUUAGCCUCAUGACAAUGCAGUACCUCAAACCCAAAUAUACCCUUUCUUUCUUAGCCUUAGGAACAUGGGAUGCCAGAAAUAUUCUAGUCUAUGUAAGAAGAACAAAGCCACAAUUAAUGGCUGGAAAUUCAUUAGUGGUUUGCAUUGUGCUGUGCAGCACCUCUUGCUAGGAUAUGUCAUGGACAUCCCAAGAAGAAAGAAGCAGUAAGCUUCAAAGGAAGCUUGUUCCUUAUGCAGUGGUCAGUAGACCUGUGAAGCAUCUUCCCAAAUGAUGUUGUAGAUGCAAAAACUUAUGUGGUUUGAAAUGGACACUGUACAAGAGCAUGGGGAAAAAAAAACACUGAGGAUUACUGACUAGAUAAAUCAUGUCAAACUUAGGAAAUCCCCUAAAAUAGUUGAAAGCUGAGACAGUAUUUGGGGAAGUAUCAUGUAGACUUCCCUGUUUUUGCUAUUCUUUAGGUGUCCCUUACAGACAGUGUUGGAGAUGGUAUGUCUGUUUUUAUGACCUUAUGUACUAGAGCAGCAGCUGAUUAGCAUCCUGAUUCUUAUAUGGACUAUGUCCAAGGUGCACAUAUCUUGGUCUUGUGUAACAAGGACCACAUGGCACCACAUGGAAAAAGAGUACAGCAUGUUAGUUUUCCUCUUUCACUUUUCUUCCACCCCUCCUCCUCAGCAAUACUAUGUAAGCAGCUGUUUUUGUUACUCCUCCUUGGGCCAAAGAAUGAAUGAUGUCUGUGUUGCUUUGAAGGAAUCCCUCUUUGAAGGAAUUCCUCUUUGAACUCCUUUUUGAAUUCCUUCAUAAAGGUCAUGCAUCCUUGCAUGGAAAGCAGAAAAGCUGAAGUCUAUGAACAUAAGGAGUAUUCACAUUA
This is a long non-coding RNA of Cygnus olor (mute swan), 1234 nucleotides long. RefSeq lists it as uncharacterized. The transcript has 3 exons. The record is from RefSeq and is a predicted model, not a curated record. NCBI's taxonomy places the organism in Eukaryota, Metazoa, Chordata, Aves, Anseriformes, Anatidae.